UGAGAACUGAAUUCCAUGGGU
This 21-nucleotide non-coding RNA is filed under the name Alligator mississippiensis (American alligator). Its record names the gene ami-miR-146a-5p. RNAcentral also lists the same sequence under 3 other names. Lineage: Eukaryota; Metazoa; Chordata; Crocodylia; Alligatoridae. The record is from miRBase by way of RNAcentral.